This 280-nucleotide long non-coding RNA is filed under the name Taeniopygia guttata (zebra finch). RNAcentral's name for it is "lncRNA (ENSTGUG00000024016.1)". The record is from RNAcentral. Lineage: Eukaryota; Metazoa; Chordata; Aves; Passeriformes; Estrildidae.
AAUAUUUUGAAUUUUUCCCAAUUUUCCACUUUAUUUUACUAUAUUAUGUAUUUAAAUAAAUUAUAUUUUUAAAUUUAUCAUAUUUUAAUAUAUCAUAUAUUAAAAUAAUAUUUUAUUUCUCUUUUUUUGGGAUAAUAAUUUGAAUUUUUGCCCAAUUUUCCACAGAACAACGGGACAGAGAGAUCGAACAACGGGACAGAGAGAUCGAACAACGGGACAGAGAGAUCGGUGAGUGUCCCAAAAAUGGGAAUUUUUUACUCAAUUUUAUAUUUAAUAAAUU